AGAGUUUGAUCAUGGCUCAGAUUGAACGCUGGCGGCAGGCUUAACACAUGCAAGUCGAGCGGGGAGGAGUUGCUUGGAACUUAUCUUAGCGGCGGACGGGUGAGUAAUGCUUAGGAAUCUGCCAUUUAGUGGGGGACAACAUUCCGAAAGGGAUGCUAAUACCGCAUACGUCCUACGGGAGAAAGCAGGGGAUCUUCGGACCUUGCGCUAAAUGAUGAGCCUAAGUCGGAUUAGCUAGUUGGUGGGGUAAAGGCCUACCAAGGCGACGAUCUGUAGCGGGUCUGAGAGGAUGAUCCGCCACACUGGGACUGAGACACGGCCCAGACUCCUACGGGAGGCAGCAGUGGGGAAUAUUGGACAAUGGGCGGAACCCUGAUCCAGCCAUGCCGCGUGUGUGAAGAAGGCCUUUUGGUUGUAAAGCACUUUAAGCGAGGAGGAGGCUACCUAGAUUAAUACUCUGGGAUAGUGGACGUUACUCGCAGAAUAAGCACCGGCUAACUCUGUGCCAGCAGCCGCGGUAAUACAGAGGGUGCGAGCGUUAAUCGGAUUUACUGGGCGUAAAGCGUGCGUAGGCGGCUGAUUAAGUCGGAUGUGAAAUCCCUGAGCUUAACUUAGGAAUUGCAUUCGAUACUGGUCAGCUAGAGUAUGGGAGAGGAUGGUAGAAUUCCAGGUGUAGCGGUGAAAUGCGUAGAGAUCUGGAGGAAUACCGAUGGCGAAGGCAGCCAUCUGGCCUAAUACUGACGCUGAGGUACGAAAGCAUGGGGAGCAAACAGGAUUAGAUACCCUGGUAGUCCAUGCCGUAAACGAUGUCUACUAGCCGUUGGGG
This 826-nucleotide ribosomal RNA is filed under the name Acinetobacter sp. NIPH 284. RNAcentral's name for it is "bacterial SSU rRNA". It matches the Rfam family "Bacterial small subunit ribosomal RNA", at positions 8 to 828 of the family's 1533-position model. The record is from RNAcentral. Lineage: Bacteria; Pseudomonadati; Pseudomonadota; Gammaproteobacteria; Moraxellales; Moraxellaceae.